This 1209-nucleotide ribosomal RNA is filed under the name Salmonella enterica subsp. enterica serovar Paratyphi B var. L(+) tartrate +. RNAcentral's name for it is "bacterial SSU rRNA". It matches the Rfam family "Bacterial small subunit ribosomal RNA", at positions 1 to 1200 of the family's 1533-position model. Lineage: Bacteria; Pseudomonadati; Pseudomonadota; Gammaproteobacteria; Enterobacterales; Enterobacteriaceae. The record is from RNAcentral.
AAAUUGAAGAGUUUGAUCAUGGCUCAGAUUGAACGCUGGCGGCAGGCCUAACACAUGCAAGUCGAACGGUAACAGGAAGCAGCUUGCUGCUUCGCUGACGAGUGGCGGACGGGUGAGUAAUGUCUGGGAAACUGCCUGAUGGAGGGGGAUAACUACUGGAAACGGUGGCUAAUACCGCAUAACGUCGCAAGACCAAAGAGGGGGACCUUCGGGCCUCUUGCCAUCAGAUGUGCCCAGAUGGGAUUAGCUUGUUGGUGAGGUAACGGCUCACCAAGGCGACGAUCCCUAGCUGGUCUGAGAGGAUGACCAGCCACACUGGAACUGAGACACGGUCCAGACUCCUACGGGAGGCAGCAGUGGGGAAUAUUGCACAAUGGGCGCAAGCCUGAUGCAGCCAUGCCGCGUGUAUGAAGAAGGCCUUCGGGUUGUAAAGUACUUUCAGCGGGGAGGAAGGUGUUGUGGUUAAUAACCGCAGCAAUUGACGUUACCCGCAGAAGAAGCACCGGCUAACUCCGUGCCAGCAGCCGCGGUAAUACGGAGGGUGCAAGCGUUAAUCGGAAUUACUGGGCGUAAAGCGCACGCAGGCGGUCUGUCAAGUCGGAUGUGAAAUCCCCGGGCUCAACCUGGGAACUGCAUUCGAAACUGGCAGGCUUGAGUCUUGUAGAGGGGGGUAGAAUUCCAGGUGUAGCGGUGAAAUGCGUAGAGAUCUGGAGGAAUACCGGUGGCGAAGGCGGCCCCCUGGACAAAGACUGACGCUCAGGUGCGAAAGCGUGGGGAGCAAACAGGAUUAGAUACCCUGGUAGUCCACGCCGUAAACGAUGUCUACUUGGAGGUUGUGCCCUUGAGGCGUGGCUUCCGGAGCUAACGCGUUAAGUAGACCGCCUGGGGAGUACGGCCGCAAGGUUAAAACUCAAAUGAAUUGACGGGGGCCCGCACAAGCGGUGGAGCAUGUGGUUUAAUUCGAUGCAACGCGAAGAACCUUACCUGGUCUUGACAUCCACGGAAGUUUUCAGAGAUGAGAAUGUGCCUUCGGGAACCGUGAGACAGGUGCUGCAUGGCUGUCGUCAGCUCGUGUUGUGAAAUGUUGGGUUAAGUCCCGCAACGAGCGCAACCCUUAUCCUUUGUUGCCAGCGGUCCGGCCGGGAACUCAAAGGAGACUGCCAGUGAUAAACUGGAGGAAGGUGGGGAUGACGUCAAGUCAUCAUGGCC